Non-coding RNA from Malus domestica (apple), 743 nucleotides. The record is from RefSeq and is a predicted model, not a curated record. NCBI's taxonomy places the organism in Eukaryota, Viridiplantae, Streptophyta, Magnoliopsida, Rosales, Rosaceae.
UCUUUGGGUUCCCUUCUCUCUCUAUCACCAUUUUCAGCUUUUCCUUAUUUUGGAGCCUAGGUUUUUUCUCUCUCCCACGCCUUUGUUGUUCUCGCUAUCCGUCCUUCGCGUCUUUGUCUCGCCGAUUAUUCAAGGCCGUUUUCUUCUCGGAAAACUAACGAUCUCUGGUGAGUUUUUUGCAGUUCUUGCCAUGUCUAAUUUCAAUUUUUUUUCGUUGUUUGGGUGUGGCUUUGCGAUGCGGUUUGAUUUUUGGUUUCAGGAAAAGUUAUCGAUGCGAUCUAAGGCUUUUUGCAAAAGAAGUUGUUUGAAUUUUGGCCUUUCUGUCUGCAACCUUGCAAGCUGUUUGCGAUCAAGGUUGUUCUAGACUUUGUCAACAGUGCAGAGUUGUCUUCGGCAGAGCUCGAUAGCAACUCUAGGUAAACAAGAGCUACUGGACUAUUAUGCACAGGGGAAUGGAAGGAAAGUAAAAAUUCAAGCUUUUAAUACAAAUUGGAAAUUGAGCGACACUAAACAAACGAUAGGUAAAACUGACAACUACUUUCUUUCCGUUUAAAUAUAAAUCAAUUGAUUAAGUCUGUGUUUUAAAAUGAAGUUUCAAUUGUUUCCAAAUUCUAACAACGAUCUCAUAUGCUUUAAGAUAAUCUAUUUAGAGUUUUGAUCCACUUUUAAUUACGCAGAAUUUCAAUUUUUUUUUCCAUAUAAAGUUUCCAUUUUUCUUGAGUACGAGAAGAAGCUUUAAUUUG